This 160-nucleotide unclassified non-coding RNA is filed under the name uncultured Helotiales. Its description in RNAcentral is "sequence contains ITS1". Lineage: Eukaryota; Fungi; Ascomycota; Leotiomycetes; Helotiales. The record is from RNAcentral.
CCGAGUUCAUGCCCUCACGGGUAGAUCUCCCACCCUUUGCAUACCUUACCUUUGUUGCUUUGGCGGGCCGCCUAGCUACCGGCUUCGGCUGGUAAGUGCCCGCCAGAGGACCCAAAACCCUGAAUUAUUAGUGUCGUCUGAGUAAAAAGUUUAAUAUUUA